UUAUCUAUUUGAGGUGGACUGGUCUGAGAGAAAAUAUAUGUCGAUGCAAGACGAUGAAAGUGCUGGAGACAAUCAUAGGAGAAGAUGACGCUACUAGAAGAAAUAGAUGAUGGUAGUUAGAAAAGGUUUCGUGUAAUGAUAUAUAGAUGGAGGCGGACAGAAAAGGUGAUGGAGAAGAUAAAGAUGGAGGCGUACUAUAGCAUAGGAGAAGACGGGGAUGGAUUACUUCUUAAUUACUUAGUAAUGACCCUUUUUUAUUAAUUUUUAUUAGUCUGCCCAAUUAUUUAAUUGAUAUUUGCUAACUUCACUGAUCUAUAUAGGUGUAAAAAUUUUAUUUCAAAAGUUAUAUGUAUUUUUAAUUUAUAGUAAUAAAUUUUUAUUAUAUGUAUU
Salvia hispanica is the source of this 390-nucleotide long non-coding RNA. RefSeq lists it as uncharacterized. The record is from RefSeq and is a predicted model, not a curated record. NCBI's taxonomy places the organism in Eukaryota, Viridiplantae, Streptophyta, Magnoliopsida, Lamiales, Lamiaceae.